This 2056-nucleotide long non-coding RNA is filed under the name Canis lupus familiaris (dog). RNAcentral describes it as "lncRNA (ENSCAFG00000050281.1)". The record is from RNAcentral. Lineage: Eukaryota; Metazoa; Chordata; Mammalia; Carnivora; Canidae.
CUGGUACAAAUAAAACAAUUUAUUAUGUAAGAGCUUUUAAUAACAGAGGGCUGACCAAGAGAAGUCAAGCAUUUGGAGCCAGACUAGUGGCUUCUUAAAUGCAAUACGAGGCUCCGGGCAGCUCCAAAACAGCAGGACGGAGACAGUGCUGGUUCCCUGCACUUGGGGGGACCCCACUUUGUAAGGUCUACUGAGUAAGUUACUGCCAAAUGUCUUUGCAAACGUUCCAUUGGUGGCUUCCCGACCAACACAGUAGAUCUCCAGGUUUCUAACCCUUGAGUAAAUGUUGGUUUGACUGAACAUCUUUGUCUCUGUGUUUUUGUUUUCAAGCAGGAUACACAGCCGUGGUUGGGUCUGGCAUAGGGAGGCUAAGUCCGGAGCAUGUCAGGGGGGUUUGGGUCUACCUGCAGCCUGCAAAUGCUCCCUGAUAUCCUAUUUGAAUGAGUUGAGUCCCAGUUGCUCCCAACCUGUGGCUUUCUUCAGUUCACAAAAUCACAUGGAACCUUCCUUUUUGUGUCCAAGUGGAUGCUUUACGAAAGGUAAGGGACUCUGACCCGGCCACAGAAAGUCUCUGAGUUGGGAUACCUGAGUGGCUCAGCGGUUGAGCGCCUGCCUUCAGCCCAGGUCGUGAUCCCGGAGUCCUGGGAUCCAGUCCCACGUCGGGCCCCUGCAUGGAGCCUGCUUCUCCCUCUGCCUGUGUCUCUGCCUCUCUCUCUCCAUGUCUCUCAUGAAUAAAUAAAUAAAUUCUUAAAAAAAAAAGAAAGUCUCUGAGUUGCAGUCACCUUGAAGCAAUACAUUAAGGAUCUGAACUUGACGUCCUUGUUCAGUUUUCCAUGGGCAUCAGCAACAGUCCUUGUGCUGUCCCCACAGUUCUGGAAUUCCUAGUACUUUCCAUGUCGCUAUGUAGAAGAGGCGACCCUGAUGCACACAGUCCUGGCCUUUCUGACAUGCCAGCUGCCAGGUGACUGCAGCAAGAACUUCGUCAUUCCAUCACCAGAUCCCAAGAACUCCUAGGGUCCCAGGCAUUAGAAUAUUAACAAGAACUUCAUCAUCUGCUUCGUCACCACCAGGUCCCUGAAUCCAAACACCCCGUAUUUCCCUGAGGUUCUGGGGUUUGCCAUGUACUCUUUCUUCCCUCUUAAUUUCUAUCCUAGUCAACAUUUUUUUAAAUUUGUUUUCAAGCAAAGAUAUCAGUUCCUGUCAACUCAAGCAAGUCUACAGUAUAUUCUUGAUGCAAUACCCAGAGAGGUGCCAUUUAACAUUUAAACAUUAGCCUGGUGGUGUCACUUCUCUGCCCAAGACUUCAACGUCUCCUGCCUCAUUCAGUGUAAAGCCAAAGUUCCCACUGGAGCUUCAUUAGGUCCUGUACCAUGUGGUUCUUAUUCCUUCUUCGGCUUCACCCAUUGACCCGUUUUCCUCUUCUUCACUCAUUGUUACCCAAAACUAGGCCACACGUGCUCCCACCUUGGGACGUUUUUACUUAUUUCUUCCUCUACUUUUUUUCCCCUACUCCCCAAGCUAUAGGUACGUCUCAUGCCUUCCUCCUUCAAGGCCUUGCUGAAAUGUCACCUUCUCUCUGAGGUCUCCUCUGAAGACUUUAUUUAAAAUUAUAGGGGCACUUGGGUGGCUCAGUCUGUUAGGUGUCUGCCCUUGGCUCAGGUUAUGAUCUCAGGGUCCUGGGAUUGAGCCCCGAGUUGGGCUCCCUGCUCAACGUGGAGCCUGCUUCUCCCUCUGCCCUUCGCCUGUGCUCAUGCUCUGUCUCACUCUCUUGCUCUCAAAUAAAUAAAAUAUUUUAAAAAUCAUAACCCUCCUAUGAGUCUUCUUCUCCCCCUCUUUGUCCUUUCUCCAUCUCUCUAGCCUGUAUCACCAUCUGACAUAUUAUAUAUUUUACUUCAUUAGCUCUCGGCUCUAUAAGGACGAUCUCCCUGCUCCUGUUUUGCUCACUGAUGUAACCUUAGCUCCCGGAACAGGGCUGCUGUGCUCAGCAUACUAAUGCCCUUUGUUUAAUGUUUUUGAUUCUUUCUCUACUUCUAUGUGGCUGUCAUCUGUAGAACUG